Molecule: long non-coding RNA, 2217 nt
Filed under: Homo sapiens (human)
Lineage: Eukaryota; Metazoa; Chordata; Mammalia; Primates; Hominidae
Description: HSALNT0340351
Source: RNAcentral
GCACAGGCGCCCGCCACCACGCCUGGCUAAUUUUUUUUUGUUUGUUUGUUUUUAGCAGAGACGGGGUUUCACCGUGUUAGCCAGGAUGGUCUCAAUCUCCUGACCUCGUGAUACGCCCGCCUCAGCCUCCUAAAGUGCUGGGAUUACAGGCGUAAGCCACCACAGCCUGCCACAAACUCACUUUUUGAAUUAAUUGUGAGAUGUUGGGCUUGAAAAUCAGGUUCAAUUUUUUUUUAAAGAGUUUUCUAUAGUUGUGAUUCUCUCAUUCAUAGGUCAAAAGGCCACACUGGCAAAGUAACAACACAGAAUUUUAUUACAGCUGCUAGAUAUGAAGACUCAGCAUAUGAUAUCGGUGACGUUAAUACCUUCCCAGGGAGAAGCGCUGUUCCUUCUGGCUGGGAAGUGCGAGCCGGUGGGGGGAGAGAGAGGAGUAGAGCAUUAUGUGGAGGUACUUCCCGGUUCCCUUGCGUCUGAGGGUCUUAUGCCAGAGGGGAUAGAAAGCCCAACAGAAACUCAAGAUAGAAGAAGGAGAAUCUGCGAGUGUCUGUCUCCUGUCAAGCUUCCCUAAUACAGCCCUGGUAGAACUUCAUCAACAGUGGAAGGCAUUUGCAAAGAGAUGUCAUCCUGGGGAUGAGAAGGAGGAAGACAGAGAAACGCAGAAAAGCCUAAGCAGGCACCACAAAGAGACCGAGCCCGUCUGAAAGAGGCUGCUCUAACCUGGUGGAAACUAUUUUAAGUUGCCACCAGACAUUACAUUCCAGAGCCUUGAGAAAAACUGAUGAAAAAAAAGUCAUGAAAAAAAGUCAUUCGCACAAGUGACACCAUGGUGUGAAGUCAAGGAGCACAGACUCUGGAGUCAGAGGGCUUGAGUCAACCUGAGCAUCUUCAGCUUUGACUGUGAAGACACAGCUUUGACUCUCUGUGUUGCAGAGAUGGUAGUGCCCACUCCAGUGACGCUUGUGAGGAUUAGUUGAGAUAAUAAAUACAAAAUGCUGAGCAUCAAACCUAGAGUAGAGAAAGGUCUCAAGUAAGUACUCAUUACCAGUAUUUGUUAUUUAAUUUCACUUUUGUCUACAUUCCCUUGUGUGAAAUGGUUUGGAUAAUUAAUUAAGGAAAACUUUCCCUCAGGGACAUUGCUGAUAUUGCAAUCUUCACUAGAUACACUUAUCUCUACCUCCGCCUCCACCUCCACCUUCACCUCCAUCUCUUCUCUGUCUCUAUCUCUAUCUUCCUGUUGUUUAUCUAUCUAAUUAUUUAUAAAUGAACUGGUGGGUUUGUUGUUGUUGCAGCCUGGCUAAUGUUAUCCAGACAUAUCUGAAACCUCAUGAGUGGCAUGGAAUGGCAGUCCCUGCUUGAACCAUUUACCUCCUUUCCUAACACCAACAAUCACACACACCUGACACUGACCUGAAGCCUCUGGCCUGUCCUCGGAGGCAAAGACUGGGUAGACAAGAUGCCUGGUUACCAGCAAUCUUCUGCAAUUUCCUCUGAGCUAUUGAGAUUGCUUUUCUCUUUGCUCAAAUUAUGUGAGAAACUUUUAAAAAAGAAUUUAAUGUGCUCUUUUGAUAUUUCAGGUGUUCAUUCAAAAGCCUAUGUUAUUCUCUGUCUCUCUGUCUCUUUUCCUAGUUGGGUAAUCAAAAUGGCACAAUCAGAAAUAUUUAUAUCUGCAACAGAAAAGAAGAAUAAAUUUAUUCAUGCACAAGUACAUUAUGUACAUAUAUAUGUUUGUGUAUACAUAUAUCUGUAUAAUUGAUAUAUUUGGGAGAAAUAAAAGGUUUCAUUAAGCACACAAGUUCUAGAGUUAGACCCUCUGUCGCAAAUUACUGUCCUGUCACUUAACUCCUGCCAGAACAAAGUGCAUACUUGAACAAAAUGCCUGCUCUGUAAAAAUGCCUUGAUCUUGAAUAAAAUGCCUGCUAGGUCAAAGCUUCUAUUUUCCCACCUAGAAAAUGGGAACAAUAAUAAGAAUCCUCACUUAAUAGAUAAUGGAAAAAGUUGCUUGCAGCACAGAGCCUGCUACAGACAAUGCCUUCAAUUAAUGCAAACUAUUAAUAUUAUGAAAAGUGAGUAUCUGUUUUCUGACAAUGUUUUCAAUAAUAUAAAUUCUGCCUUUGUUCACUUUAUUUGUUUGAAAAAACAAAUAAAAAACCAAACAAAAAAGUGUCUUAAAAGUGUCCAUUUGUCUUUCUUCUUGACUCCUAGUAACGCUUUCCUGUG